GACGAACGCUGGCGGCGUGCUUAACACAUGCAAGUCGAACGGGCCCGCUCCCUUUUUUGGGGGUGGGUUGAGUGGCGAACGGGUGAGUAUCACGUGAGUAACCUGCCCCCUGCUCCUGGAUAACUGCUUGAAAGGGCGGCUAAUACGGGGUGUGCCGGCUGGUCCGCAUGGGCCUGGUCGGGAUAGUUUCAUCUUCGGGUGUUUCGGUGGGGGAUGGGCUCGCGGCCUAUCAGCUUGUUGGUGGGGUGAUGGCCCACCAAGGCGGUGACGGGUAGCCGGCCUGAGAGGGUGGGCGGCCACACUGGGACUGAGACACGGCCCAGACUCCUGCGGGAGGCAGCAGUGGGGGGUAUUGCACAAUGGGCGGAAGCCUGAUGCAGCGACGUCGCGUGAGGGAUGGAGGCCUUCGGGUUGUGAACCUCUUUCUCCGGUGGUGAAGGCCCUGUCCGUUGCGGCGGGGUUGACGGUAGCCGGGUAUGAAGCGCCGGCUAACUACGUG
This 499-nucleotide ribosomal RNA is filed under the name uncultured bacterium. Its description in RNAcentral is "partial 16S ribosomal RNA". It matches the Rfam family "Bacterial small subunit ribosomal RNA", at positions 28 to 507 of the family's 1533-position model. The record is from RNAcentral.